UACGUAGGGACCGAGCGUUGUCCGGAAUCAUUGGGCGUAAAGAGCGUGUAGGCGGCUAUUUAAGUCCUGCGUGAAAUCCUGCGGCUCAACCGCAGACGGUCGUGGGAAACUGGAUGGCUAGAGUGCGGGAGAGGAGAGUGGAAUUCCCGGUGUAGCGGUGAAAUGCGCAGAUAUCGGGAAGAACACCCGUGGCGAAGGCGGCUCUCUGGGCCUUACCUGACGCUGAGGAGCGAAAGCGUGGGGAGCGAACAGG
This 253-nucleotide ribosomal RNA is filed under the name uncultured bacterium. Its description in RNAcentral is "partial 16S ribosomal RNA". It matches the Rfam family "Bacterial small subunit ribosomal RNA", at positions 524 to 776 of the family's 1533-position model. The record is from RNAcentral.